Molecule: ribosomal RNA, 476 nt
Filed under: uncultured bacterium
Lineage: Bacteria
Description: partial 16S ribosomal RNA
Rfam family: Bacterial small subunit ribosomal RNA
Source: RNAcentral
GAUUAACGCUGGCGGCGUGCAUAACACAUGCAAGUCGAACGAUGAAACUUUAAUGAACCCUUCGGGGAGAAUUAAAGCGGAUUAGUGGCGAACGGGUGAGUAACGCGUGAGUAACCUGCCUUACACAAGGGGAUAGCCUUUGGAAACGAAGAAUAAUACCCUAUAAAACCAUAAAAGCACAUGCAAUUAUGGUCAAAGUGAUAGCGGUGUAAGAUGGACUUGCGUCUGAUUAGCUAGUUGGUGAGAUAAAAGCCCACCAAGGCAACGAUCAGUAGCCGGCUUGAGAGAGUGUACGGCCACAUUGGGACUGAGACACGGCCCAGACUCCUACGGGAGGCAGCAGUGGGGAAUUGUGCACAAUGGGGGAAACCCUGAUGCAGCGACGCCGCGUGAUUUAGAAGGCCUUCGGGUUGUAAAAAUCUUUUGUAUAGGAAGAAAAUGACAGUACUAUACGAAUAAGGUCCGGCUAAUUACGU